UAGAAAGUAGUAUAGUGGAAGUACGGGGGGUUUUGAGUUCCCUAGUGCAGGUUCAGAUCCUGUUUUUCUA
Molecule: transfer RNA, 70 nt
Filed under: Plestiodon dicei
Lineage: Eukaryota; Metazoa; Chordata; Lepidosauria; Squamata; Scincidae
Description: tRNA-Gln
Rfam family: tRNA
About the family: Transfer RNA (tRNA) molecules are approximately 80 nucleotides in length. Their secondary structure includes four short double-helical elements and three loops (D, anti-codon, and T loops).
Source: RNAcentral